This 465-nucleotide ribosomal RNA is filed under the name uncultured bacterium. RNAcentral describes it as "partial 16S ribosomal RNA". It matches the Rfam family "Bacterial small subunit ribosomal RNA", at positions 338 to 795 of the family's 1533-position model. The record is from RNAcentral.
CCUACGGGAGACAGCAGUGGGGAAUAUUGCGCAAUGCGCGAAAGCGUGACGCAGCGACGCCGCGUGAAGGAUGAAGGCCUUCGGAUCGUAAAACUCUUUCAACAGGGAAGAACGUUCCUUCAAGUAACCAUUUGUGAAUUGACGGUACCUGCAUAGGCAGCCCCGGCUAACUCCGUGCCAGCAGCCGCGGUAAUACGGAGGGGGCGAGCGUUAAUCGGAGUGACUGGGCGUAAAGCGCACGUAGGCGGUAUGGUAAGUCAUGAGUGAAAGCCCCGCGCUCAACGUUAGUAAUGCCAUUGAUACUGGCAAACUGGAGUAUGUGAGAGGAGUGCGGAAUUCCUGGUGUAGCGGUGAAAUGCGUAGAUAUCAGGAGGAAUAUCGGUAGCGAAGGCGGCUAUCUGGCACGUAACUGACGCUGAGGUGCGAAAGCGUGGGUAGCAAACAGGAUUAGAUACCCUAGUAGUC